AAACAAACCAAAUGGCAUCACUGGUGGUUCUUUUUUCCACUCCGCUAAACUGUCAUCUCAAACAAAAACAAAUGGAUCAUACAACUGCUAUGAAUACAUUCGACUCGUUUGCUUCCAUCAAUCGGUAAGUGAGAAAGAAGAUUUCUCCCAUCACCACAGUGCGGAUUUCCACUUCUAUCACAGCAGCCAACAACAUCCGUUUUCCUGCAGCAGUAACCUCCAACCCCUGUUGACAAUGCCGGGGGACAGCAUCAACAGCAGCAGCAGCAGAAUUUGACCAUGGUAUGGUAUUGCGAAGAACUUUCCCCAUUAGAGGUUCCGUGCUUCGCGCACAUUCAAAAAUCCUCUUCAUACACGAAAACUCAACGACAAGGAGGUAUUUAUCAACUUGCUCAGCUGAAUUACCACCCGGAGGAACCCGAAUGCACUGAUUCCGUUGUAUAGUAGAAUGAAAAUAGGCGAGGUAAGCGAACGUAAUCGCAUGAUAUUUUAAUGUUCGCAUUUUUAUCCGGAUUAUACAACUGCUAUGAAUACAUCCGACUCAAUCAAUCGGCGAGUGAGAAAGAUGAUUUCCCUCAUCACCACAUUGCUUAUUUCCACUUCUGUCACGCCAGCCAACAGCAUCAGCUUUCCCGCAGCAGUAUCCUUUAAGUACAGGGUGCUAUUCCGUCAACAGUAACAGCAGCAGGACCUGGCCAUCGAUAGUAUUUCGAGCAAUUUUCCCCGUCGGAGAUCCCGUGCUUCACGCACAUUGAAGAAUCCUCCUCAGCCACAUAUCUGUGUCAUCAAGGGCAAGGAGGUAUUCAUCAAUGUACUCAGUCGGAUUUGAAUCGUCAAUCCAGACAACCCGGAUGUACCGAUUCCAUUAUAUACCUUAUUUUUAUUAUACAUGGAUUUUUAUUAUUUUUUUUAAAUAAAAUGAUUAAAAUCGA
Toxorhynchites rutilus septentrionalis is the source of this 932-nucleotide long non-coding RNA. RefSeq lists it as uncharacterized. Lineage: Eukaryota; Metazoa; Arthropoda; Insecta; Diptera; Culicidae. The transcript has 3 exons. The record is from RefSeq and is a predicted model, not a curated record.